This 76-nucleotide transfer RNA is filed under the name Pseudomonadota bacterium. RNAcentral's name for it is "tRNA-Thr". It matches the Rfam family "tRNA". Rfam says of the family: Transfer RNA (tRNA) molecules are approximately 80 nucleotides in length. Lineage: Bacteria; Pseudomonadati; Pseudomonadota. RNAcentral also lists the same sequence under 2 other names. The record is from RNAcentral.
GCUGGCGUAGCUCAGUUGGCAGAGCAGCUGACUUGUAAUCAGCAGGUCGGGGGUUCGAUUCCCUUCGCCAGCUCCA